GGGGCUGUAGCUCAGUGGUAGAGCGCUUGCCUAGCAUGCGUGAGGCACUGGGUUUGAUCCUCAGCACCA
Molecule: transfer RNA, 69 nt
Filed under: Ictidomys tridecemlineatus (thirteen-lined ground squirrel)
Lineage: Eukaryota; Metazoa; Chordata; Mammalia; Rodentia; Sciuridae
Description: Spermophilus tridecemlineatus (thirteen-lined ground squirrel) tRNA
Rfam family: tRNA
About the family: Transfer RNA (tRNA) molecules are approximately 80 nucleotides in length. Their secondary structure includes four short double-helical elements and three loops (D, anti-codon, and T loops).
Source: Rfam by way of RNAcentral